Molecule: long non-coding RNA, 235 nt
Filed under: Elaeis guineensis (African oil palm)
Lineage: Eukaryota; Viridiplantae; Streptophyta; Magnoliopsida; Arecales; Arecaceae
Description: long non-coding RNA (EGUI_LNC033532)
Source: RNAcentral
GCUAUCCAAGUAAGAACACUUAUUUUUUUGGUACAAAUCAAUCCUUAACAAUCCGAUUCAGGGUUCAGAUCAAUCCAACCGAGUUUUAGAAUCUCCAAAAACUCAAAAAUCCAAUGUGAUUUUGGUGUUAGAGCAGAAAACUUGUUUUUGUUAUCAGAUCAAGCUGUAUUUUGAAAAUUUGCUCAUUCUCAUUUGAUUUUAGUUUUAGCAUCAGAGCAAAAAAUAAUUAUGUGCU